UGUCAGGUCCUAAAAAAUGAAGUAUUGUUCCACCUCGUUAGUUACUGAACAAUUUGUAAUCGUUUUUAACUUCAUUAAAUUAAAUUUUACAUAGUUAUAUAAAUAGUUAUUUUAACUAUUUAAUAUAUGAAACAAAAGAUAAAACUACACAUAAUUCAGAUUCAAUCUAAUCUUUACUUUCAAACGUAGCUAUAUCAGCCAAUAAUUAUCUGGGAUUGGCUUUGAAAUGUCUAAUAAAAUCCUAAACUUGAAAUGUCUAACAAAAAAAUUUCUAUUCCUCGCCAGACGACAUUACAAUGAAAGGGCCAGACCCUCUUCCAUGAUUCAUAAAAAGAAGAAACAGAAACUCAGGCGAUAGGCCAAAGCCGAAACCCAGUUUUGGUCGACUCCCACUAAAAAAUUCUGGUUGUUUUCUUGGAUUCAUCUGUUGAAAUAUAUAAACAAAACAAAUACUUAAUUCUAAAUUUCAAAAAGGAAAAAAACAAGAUGGGAAAAUGAAAAGGAGUCAAGACUCAGAGAGACGGACCAGUCUCCAUCAAAAGUUGGAUUGCAAACUUUCAGAAUAGUUACAACAGAAAUUCCAGUUCAGCUCGCUUCAACACAGAUGUAACCCUCUCAAAAAAGGCAGGUUCCUUUUCCUUGAUAUCGUCAAGUGUCCUUGACUCAUGUUCAUCUGCCUGCAGAGAACAAAAGCAAAUGCUAUGCUAGUUGGUCUUUGGAAAUCUAGAAAAAUAAUUAAGUGCAAAAUAAAUACCAUCCUCUCAUCAGGGGUACAUUUGAUAACUUAGAAGCCCCUUGGGUUUUAGCCUUUAGGGGAAGGGAAGAAUAUACAGAACCCCGUCACUGACUACAAGAUGCUCUCUUUCUCUAUUUAUUUCCUAAGAUACUCC
This 890-nucleotide long non-coding RNA is filed under the name Citrus sinensis (sweet orange). Its description in RNAcentral is "long non-coding RNA (CSIN_LNC003312)". Lineage: Eukaryota; Viridiplantae; Streptophyta; Magnoliopsida; Sapindales; Rutaceae. The record is from RNAcentral.